This 618-nucleotide ribosomal RNA is filed under the name uncultured bacterium. Its description in RNAcentral is "bacterial SSU rRNA". It matches the Rfam family "Bacterial small subunit ribosomal RNA", at positions 28 to 646 of the family's 1533-position model. The record is from RNAcentral.
GAUAAACGCUGGCGGCGUGCCUAACACAUGCAAGUCGAACGAAGCAUUUUAAAGGAAGUUUUCGGAUGGAAUUUAAGAUGACUGAGUGGCGGACGGGUGAGUAACGCGUGGAUAACCUGCCUUACACUGGGGGAUAACAGUUAGAAAUGGCUGCUAAUACCGCAUAAGCGCACAGUACUGCAUAGUACCGUGUGAAAAACUCCGGUGGUGUGAGAUGGAUCCGCGUCUGAUUAGUUAGUUGGCGGGGUAACGGCCCACCAAGACGACGAUCAGUAGCCGACCUGAGAGGGUGACCGGCCACAUUGGGACUGAGACACGGCCCAAACUCCUACGGGAGGCAGCAGUGGGGAAUAUUGCACAAUGGGGGAAACCCUGAUGCAGCGACGCCGCGUGAGUGAAGAAGUAUUUCGGUAUGUAAAGCUCUAUCAGCAGGGAAGAAGAUGACGGUACCUGACUAAGGAGCCCCGGCUAACUACGUGCCAGCAGCCGCGGUAAUACGUAGGGGGCAAGCGUUAUCCGGAUUUACUGGGUGUAAAGGGAGCGUAGACGGCGGAGCAAGUCUGAAGUGAAAGCCCGGGGCUCAACCCCGGGACUGCUUUGGAAACUGCUCUGCUAGAG